RNAcentral lists this ribosomal RNA (253 nucleotides) under uncultured bacterium. RNAcentral describes it as "partial 16S ribosomal RNA". It matches the Rfam family "Bacterial small subunit ribosomal RNA", at positions 524 to 776 of the family's 1533-position model. The record is from RNAcentral.
UACGAAGGGGGCGAGCGUUGUUCGGAUUCAUUGGGCGUAAAGGGUGCGUAGGCGGCGGGGUAAGUUUGAUGUGAAAUCCCGGGGCUCAACCCUGGAAUUGCAUUGAAUACUACCUUGCUAGAGUACCGGAGAGGAAACUGGAAUUUACGGUGUAGCAGUGAAAUGCGUAGAGAUCGUAAGGAAGACCAGUGGCGAAGGCGAGUUUCUGGACGGUAACUGACGCUGAGGCACGAAGGCCAGGGGAGCAAACAGG